This 518-nucleotide ribosomal RNA is filed under the name uncultured bacterium. RNAcentral describes it as "bacterial SSU rRNA". It matches the Rfam family "Bacterial small subunit ribosomal RNA", at positions 11 to 518 of the family's 1533-position model. The record is from RNAcentral.
GUUUGAUUAUGGCUCAGGAUGAACGCUAGCUACAGGCUUAACACAUGCAAGUCGAGGGGCAGCAUGAGAUUAGCUUGCUAAUCUUGAUGGCGACCGGCGCACGGGUGAGUAACGCGUAUCCAACCUUCCCCUUAGUAGGGCAUAGCCCGGUGAAAAUCGGAUUAAUACCCUAUGUUGUCAAUAGAGGACAUCUGAAGCUGACCAAAGAUUUAUCGCUAAGGGAUGGGGAUGCGUCUGAUUAGAUAGUAGGCGGGGUAACGGCCCACCUAGUCGACGAUCAGUAGGGGUUCUGAGAGGAAGGUCCCCCACAUUGGAACUGAGACACGGUCCAAACUCCUACGGGAGGCAGCAGUGAGGAAUAUUGGUCAAUGGGCGCGAGCCUGAACCAGCCAAGUAGCGUGCAGGAUGACGGCCCUAUGGGUUGUAAACUGCUUUUAUACAGGGAUAAAGUGAUCCACGUGUGGGUUUUUGUAGGUACUGUAUGAAUAAGGACCGGCUAAUUCCGUGCCAGCAGCCGC